CACUAGGGGGCUGCUUGUAGGGGGAUGGAAAAAACGGAGGCUUAAAAAAAUCAUGCUGCUGAAAUUUCAGCAAGAGGGGAAAAGAGAGAGCGCGUGAGAGAGAGAGAGAGAGAGAGAGAGAGAGAGAGAGAGAGACAGCAAAGCAGUCCCAGGCUUCCUCCUCUCUUUCACGUCAGAGGCAGGAACCGACUGUGCUAAGGCUGUUGGCUCAACACCCAGAGGAGACGGGCAGACCCAGGGAGAGUGAGAGAAGGGGGUCCUCUCUGACCCAAGGAAUUACCACUAGUGGAGUGAAGCCACCUGACUUUUUGAUCUUAUUUUGGUUGCCUCCUCAUUCUCCUUCCACCCGUAGCCCUGACAGCUUGGGUUUCAUUUCUUUCGUGGAGCCUUGUCUCUUCCUCCCAGAAUAGGAGGAAGGGAAGAGAAGGGAAAGAGGAGGGCUCUCUAGGUGAGCGCAUCAGCUGGCUCCAGCCUGAGCAAGCAAGAAUUUUCUUCCCAGGAAGCUCCUCUCGCUCCCCGGCCGCCCACCCCCAGCCUGGGUGGCUGUAUCGUUUUAACUGCAUAGAGGGCAGGUCUCUUUUGGAAUUAGGAUUAAAGAAAGUGCAGUAAAGAGAAAGCAUCGAAGACACCAUCACAAAAGAUUCCCACAACUCCAUGCUGUGUGCUGCAGGCUGGUCCUGAACCCAGAUCUCUGGCUGAGAGGAUGGGG
RNAcentral lists this long non-coding RNA (709 nucleotides) under Homo sapiens (human). Its description in RNAcentral is "non-protein coding lnc-TNR-3:1". The record is from RNAcentral. Lineage: Eukaryota; Metazoa; Chordata; Mammalia; Primates; Hominidae.